This is an RNA transcript of Gorilla gorilla gorilla (western lowland gorilla), 1322 nucleotides long. It is a transcript of the gene named cyclin Y like 1B, with no coding region annotated. The record is from RefSeq and is a predicted model, not a curated record. NCBI's taxonomy places the organism in Eukaryota, Metazoa, Chordata, Mammalia, Primates, Hominidae. The transcript has 9 exons.
UGGAAGGAGGAGGAGCUCCAUCUGUGCUCUCUUCUCCGCAGUCACAGCUCUCAGGCUCUUUGCAUCUAGACCCAUUCUAAAUAAACCAAGCAGAUUCCCAAGGGACCCUUGCAGACAAGUCAGCUCAGGGGAGGCGGCUGAGGCGGGGUGCGGGCUGCUAGUGGGGUGCAGCCCCAUAGCCGGGGCUGGCCCUGCCAGCGUUCCUUUCCUGGGAAGAGGUGGAAGUGCUGAGCUCUGCAGACUUGGAAGCAAGGGAAGGCCCAAGAUGCUGGAGAGGAGCCGGGCUACCCCAUGGGGAACACGCUGAGCUAUUGCUUGGGCACCAACGCCAGCCUCAAGCGGGGCCAGCGCAGGAGGUCUGGGGAGCUGUCCUGCAGUGCUGACAUCUAUGAGGCAGCGUCAAGCAAAGGUGUAGGCCAAGGCAGAGAGGAGUGGAGGCGCCGCAGAUGGAACAUGCUGCUCCCUGAUGCCAGCCCCAAGCAAAGCCAGCGCAGGGUGCUGUGGGCGGAACCGCCCUGCAGCUAUAACUUCACGGAGGCAGAGGUGGCAGUAAAAAUAAAAAUCCCCACACCCCACUGCUGUGGAGCCUGCCCAGUCGGAUUUCGGAGCCCGCGAGGGCCAUGACCUGCAGCACAUCAGCGACCAGCAGAUGCCCAAAAAUUUUGCUUCUGACCGUCCAAGGGAAAGCACACUCUUCCUGAGAAAAUAUCAAAUGAGUGUGUAAGAAAAGAGGAGCAGCUCUCACCUAUAUUAUAUCUCCUCCCUACCCUGUCUUUCAUGUACUUGUGGGAGACCCUGAUGGAAGAGUGUGAUAACAUGAUGCAGACAAGCAUAUCCCAAUAGGAAGAAGGAAGGCUCAUAUACCUGCAUGUCAUCUUGAUAGAAAAUACAGCUCAUGUUCCACCAUAUUGCUAGAUAACAGCACAGCCAGCCAGCCUGAUCUUAGACAUACAUUAGAAAGUGUGGCUUUGGCAAUAUAUUAUAACAUAAAGCACAGCAUGUGGUUAGAGGACUGAAAAUAGAUACAGUUUAUUACCAUUGCCUGUUAGCGGGGGUCAAUAUUUAAAGGCAAGUCUGGCUCAUCAAUGUAGAAAAGACUUCACAGUUCACGACAUAAUGUGCUGAAGAAAAACAGGUCAAGAAACCCUCUGAAGGCCAGGAUCCAGGAGAAAAAUUUGCAAAAACUCUUUUGAUGAACAAAUUUUACCAAAGCAAACAAGAGUUAUGCAAAUAGAUCUCUGGCUAUUUUUGAAGAGCCAAUACAUCCACUUUCACAAGAGAAGCUUCCAGGGAAAUCCUUCAAGCAUGAUCCCAAACACAAC